RNAcentral lists this ribosomal RNA (459 nucleotides) under uncultured bacterium. RNAcentral describes it as "partial 16S ribosomal RNA". It matches the Rfam family "Bacterial small subunit ribosomal RNA", at positions 338 to 795 of the family's 1533-position model. The record is from RNAcentral.
CCUACGGGAGGCAGCAGUGAGGAAUAUUGGUCAAUGGCCGUAAGGCUGAACCAGCCAAGUCGCGUGAAGGAAGAAGGAUCUAUGGUUUGUAAACUUCUUUUAUAGGGGAAUAAAGGUAUCCACGUGUGGAUAUUUGCAUGUACCCUAUGAAUAAGCAUCGGCUAACUCCGUGCCAGCAGCCGCGGUAAUACGGAGGAUGCGAGCGUUAUCCGGAUUUAUUGGGUUUAAAGGGUGCGUAGGCGGACGCUUAAGUCAGCGGUAAAAUUGCGGGGCUCAACCUCGUCGAGCCGUUGAAACUGGGUGCCUUGAGUGGGCGAGAAGUACGCGGAAUGCGUGGUGUAGCGGUGAAAUGCAUAGAUAUCACGCAGAACUCCGAUUGCGAAGGCAGCGUACCGGCGCCCAACUGACGCUGAAGCACGAAGGCGUGGGUAUCGAACAGGAUUAGAUACCCCAGUAGUC